RNAcentral lists this long non-coding RNA (1880 nucleotides) under Homo sapiens (human). Its description in RNAcentral is "HSALNT0147169". The record is from RNAcentral. Lineage: Eukaryota; Metazoa; Chordata; Mammalia; Primates; Hominidae.
AGCCAGUUAGCUAGAAGCAAGUUCAAAAAGAAUUCAGAAAGGGAGGUGGUGGGGGUGGUUAGGAAGGCAGGUCAGUAGACAACUUCUGUGACAUCCUAAGGAGUUCAGACUUGGCCCUGUAGCAGUGAGAAGGCAGUUAAGGAUUUUAAGCAUUGUGCAAAACAGAGUAAUAGACUGCAGUCUGUCAUGACUAGAAGAAGGGGUCUCAUUGGAAGAAACUGGAGGGACAAAUCAGACUCUGAACAAAACUAGCAGCACUGGGGAUGGAGCAAAGGGAUUGAAUACAAGAUAUAUGAAUGAUGUAAAAUUUACAGGCCAUGGUGACUAUUUGGACACGGGACAUGGAGAGAAGACUGCUCUGGCAGCCUAGGGAUGGGAAGACAUACAAGAAAGCAACCAGUUACUGGAUUAUAUGAGGAAGGCUGUGACAGAGGCCAUACCGGAUGCUGCAGGAACACAGAAAAAGAAGGAUCUACGCCCUUUGAUGAAUUCCCAGGAAGCCUUCCCAGAUGUGUCAGUGGGCUCUUGAAGGGUGCUCAUCUACUGGAAAGGCUUCAACUUUCACCUUUGCUGAUGACGUUCCAGUCCCAGUCUGCCCAAUCUGAAUUCUUCCUCAGCCUCUGCUUAGCUUCCUAUCCUCCGUUCCUUCUCCUAUGAUCUAGGCAGACAUUGAGGAUUAUGCCUGGCACAUUUUCUCAGAGGGCCAAGGCACAGCCUUAAUUUUCUACUCAACUGGGAGCUCUAGGCACCCAUUACCAUUCAGAGUUGGCAUUCGAGACAAAAACUAUUUUUUUCCUGAAUCUAGUCCUUUUAAUUUUAAGCACCUUAAGGAAUAUACCUUUUAAAGUGUCUUGAAGGAUUUCAUUCCCCCAUUCAUUCAGCAAACUGUAAAGAGCUUCCCAUGUGCUGCCUGUUGAAUGCAACAUCCUCCCUCUCAAACCCUCUCCUGCUCAACAGGUCCCCUGCUAUCAAUGAUACCAGCAAUAGCACUGAAAGAAUAAAUAUACACCAGAUAACACAGGUGAGUGGGCACAGCUCUCCAUGCCACCCUAGUUCCUCACAAAGGCAUGCCCAAUAUUUGGAGGUACUGACAGCCUUAGAGGAAGGAGAAAUCCACCAGGUCAGAAAAAUUCUGAGCUGUAGGCUUGCUGCCUUUCUUACCUACAUUUGAGGAAAGGCCAGGUUAGCAUCCAAGAGUCCACCCUAUCACCAUAUAAAGAAUUCCAUGCCAGACACAUAUACUUCUAUUUCCUAAUGCUGGUCCUGGGUCUACAGUGGUCUUAUUAUAAUCAGUAGACCAUUCUAGUUCAAGCCCUUAUCCCCUCCUAUAUGGAUAACUGUAACAGACUCUCCUCUCCAGUUCAUCCUAUAAAUGCCAUAGCCAAACUCUACCCCAAUUUUAACUCCUAGUAAUUACUGAUUUGUUCUAUAGGUUGGUGCAACAGUAAUUGCGGUUUUCACCAUUAAAAGUAAUGGCGAAAGUAAUGCUUAGCCUCCUAUUUGGCGAAACUGUAAUGGUGAAAACUGUAAUUACUGUUGCAUCAACCUAAUACAACACUGCAAUUUUGUUUUUUAAGAAUUUCAAAUAGGCCAGGCACGGUGGCUCACACCUGUAAUCCCAGCACUUUGGAAGGCCGAGGCGGGUGGAUCACCAGGUCAGGAGUUCAAGACCAGCCUGACCAACAUGGUGAAACCCCAUCUCUACUAAAAAUACAAAAAUAAGUUGGGUGUAGUGGCGUGCGCCUGUAGUCCCAGCUACUCAGGAGGCUGAGGCAGGAGAAUAGCUUGAACCUGGGAGGCGGAGGUUGCAGUGAACUAAGAUCGCACUGCACUCCAGCCUGAGCGACAGAGCAAGACUCCAUCUCAAAAAAAAAAAAAAA